Molecule: transfer RNA, 68 nt
Organism: Cavia porcellus (domestic guinea pig)
Lineage: Eukaryota; Metazoa; Chordata; Mammalia; Rodentia; Caviidae
Rfam family: tRNA
About the family: Transfer RNA (tRNA) molecules are approximately 80 nucleotides in length. Their secondary structure includes four short double-helical elements and three loops (D, anti-codon, and T loops).
Source: Rfam
GGGGAUUUAGCUCAGUGGCAUAAGCACCUGCCUUGCAAGCAGGUGGUCGGUCGUGAGUUCGAUCCCCA